Molecule: small nuclear RNA, 330 nt
Filed under: Ursus americanus (American black bear)
Lineage: Eukaryota; Metazoa; Chordata; Mammalia; Carnivora; Ursidae
Description: 7SK RNA (ENSUAMG00000000860.1)
Rfam family: 7SK RNA
About the family: 7SK was discovered as an abundant small nuclear RNA in the mid-70s but a possible function has only recently been suggested. Two independent studies have found that 7SK RNA binds the CDK9/cyclin T complex (known as elongation factor P-TEFb).
Source: Rfam by way of RNAcentral
GGAUGUGGGGGCAAUCUGGCUGUGACAUCUGUCACCCCACUGACCGCCAGGGUUGAUUCAGCUAAUCUGGCUGGCUAGGCAAGUAUCCCCCUUCCUCCCUCACCAUUCCAUGUGAAACCCCCCCCCCCGAAGCUGCAGGUUGGGUCAAAGAGGACAACCUUCCCCAGUAGAGGAGAACUGUUUUUCAGUCAAGGAUAUACAAGUAGCUGCAUUCCCCUACUAGAACCUCCAAACAAGCUCUCAAGGUCCAUUUGCAGGAGAAUGUAGGGUAGUCAAGUUUCAAGACUCUAGACCACAUCCAAACGAGGCCCUGCAUGUGGCCCUUUCUUU